AUUGAACGCUGGCGGCAGGCUUAACACAUGCAAGUCGAGCGGAUCCUUCGGGAUUAGUGGCGCACGGGUGAGUAACGCGUGGGAACAUGCCCUUAGGUACGGAACAACAGUUGGAAACGACUGCUAAUACCGUAUAAUAUCGAGAGAUCAAAGAUUUAUCGCCUAAGGAUCGGCCCGCGUUAGAUUAGAUAGUUGGUGGGGUAAAGGCCUACCAAGUCUACGAUCUAUAGCUGGUCUUAGAGGAUGACCAGCCACACUGGAACUGAGACACGGUCCAGACUCCUACGGGAGGCAGCAGUGAGGAAUAUUGGACAAUGGGCGAAGGCCUGAUCCAGCCAUGCCGCGUGAAUGAUGAAGGCCUUAGGGUUGUAAAGUUCUUUUAGCUGUGAAGAUGAUGACUGUAGCAGCAGAAAAAGCCCCGGCUAACUCCGUGCCAGCCGCCGCUGUAA
This 449-nucleotide ribosomal RNA is filed under the name uncultured bacterium. Its description in RNAcentral is "partial 16S ribosomal RNA". It matches the Rfam family "Bacterial small subunit ribosomal RNA", at positions 30 to 523 of the family's 1533-position model. The record is from RNAcentral.